UUGAUUUGGUAUUUGUUCGAUUGUUUGGUCAUUUUCUAAACCGAUCCGAAAGUUGGUCUACUCUAUUACAUGGGAAUUUAGAAUACUUAUUCAAGAAGCCGUAUGACUUUAAAUGGUCGCCCACCGACCUGAAGACGUGUGGUAUCACAUCACUUUCUCGUAAUAUAUACUGCAUAAAAUUAAUUUCACAGUGCAAAGGCUUUGAUUUAUGCAUUACUCUAAGGUGUGAAUCACGAGUUAACACGGCCUGAGGAUGGAUGUCUAUAGGGCCUGAACAAAGCCCAGCAGCCUGGGAUAUAAGAAGUAAACCUGAGAGGUCCAUAUGAACAGGAUCCUUCCAUCCUUUUCUCGGAC
Molecule: long non-coding RNA, 354 nt
Organism: Zootermopsis nevadensis
Lineage: Eukaryota; Metazoa; Arthropoda; Insecta; Blattodea; Termopsidae
Source: RefSeq, a predicted model, not a curated record